CCUACGGGUGGCAGCAGUAGGGAAUAUUGCUCAAUGGGGGAAACCCUGAAGCAGCAACGCCGCGUGGAGGAUGAAGGUGUUCGGAUUGUAAACGCCUUUUGUUAGAGAAGAGAAGGACGGUAUCUAACGAAUAAGCACCGGCUAACACCGUGCCAGCAGCCGCGGUAAUACGGAGGGUGCAAGCGUUCCGCGGAAUCCCUGGGCGUAAAGAGCGCGGAGGCGGGAUAGCAAGUCAGAGGUGAAAUCCUAUGGCUUAACCAUAGAACUGCAUUUGAAACUGUUAUUCUAGAGUAUGUGAGAGGUAGGUGGAAUUCUUUGUGUCGGGUUCCACUCCG
RNAcentral lists this ribosomal RNA (335 nucleotides) under uncultured bacterium. RNAcentral describes it as "partial 16S ribosomal RNA". It matches the Rfam family "Bacterial small subunit ribosomal RNA", at positions 338 to 690 of the family's 1533-position model. The record is from RNAcentral.